GAAGGUGGCGAGCGUUGUUCGGAUUCACUGGGCAUAAAGGGCGCGUAGGCGGCCUUGUAAGCGGCGUGUGAAAGCCCGGAGCUCAACUCCGGAACUGCAUGCCGAACUGCAGGGCUAGAGGACGGGAGGGGAGUGUGGAACUCUAGGUGGAGCGGUGAAAUGCGUAGAUAUCUAGAGGAACGCCGGUGGCGAAAGCGACACUCUGGCCCGACCCUGACGCUGAGGCGCGAAAGCGUGGGGGUAGCAAACAGGAUUAGAUACCCUGGUAGUCCACGCCGUAAACGAUGAGCACUAGGUAGCCGUCGGAUCCGACCGGUGGCUGCUGCAGGUAAUCCAUUAAGUGCUCCGCCUGGGGAGUAUGGUCGCAAGGCUG
Molecule: ribosomal RNA, 373 nt
Filed under: uncultured organism
Description: partial 16S ribosomal RNA
Rfam family: Bacterial small subunit ribosomal RNA
Source: RNAcentral